UACGUAGGGUGCAAGCGUUGUCCGGAUUUAUUGGGUUUAAAGGGUGCGUAGGCGGCCUGCUAAGUCAGUGUUUAAAUUCUGCAGCUCAACUGUAGGUAUGGCAUUGAUACUGGUGGGCUUGAAUAUCAGAGAGGUAGCUGGAAUUUAUGGUGUAGCGGUGAAAUGCAUAGAUACCAUAAGGAACACCGAUAGCGGAGGCAUGUUACCAUUUGAUGAUUGACGCUGAGGCACGAAAGUGUGGGGAUCAAACAGG
RNAcentral lists this ribosomal RNA (253 nucleotides) under uncultured bacterium. RNAcentral describes it as "partial 16S ribosomal RNA". It matches the Rfam family "Bacterial small subunit ribosomal RNA", at positions 524 to 776 of the family's 1533-position model. The record is from RNAcentral.